This 426-nucleotide ribosomal RNA is filed under the name uncultured prokaryote. RNAcentral describes it as "bacterial SSU rRNA". It matches the Rfam family "Bacterial small subunit ribosomal RNA", at positions 355 to 796 of the family's 1533-position model. The record is from RNAcentral.
UGGGGAAUUUUCCGCAAUGGGCGCAAGCCUGACGGAGCAACGCCGCGUGAGGGAGGAAGGCCUGUGGGUUGUAAACUUCUUUUCUCUGGGAAGAAGAACUGACGGUACCAGAGGAAUCAGCAUCGGCUAACUCUGAGCCAGCAGCCGCGGUAAUACAGAGGGGGCAAGCGUUGUCCGGACUUACUGGGCGUAAAGCGCACGCAGGUGGUAACGCAAGAGGGGUGUGAAAGCCGCCAGCUCAACUGGCGGAGGCCAUCCCAAACUGCGUCACUUGAGGCCUGUAGAGGUAUGUGGAAUUGCCGGUGUAGUGGUGAAAUGCGUAGAGAUCGGCAGGAACACCCAGGGGGAAGCCAGCAUACUGGACAGGUCCUGACACUCAGGUGCGACAGCGUGGGGAGCGAACCGGAUUAGAUACCCCCGUAGUCC